AACAGGAUUAGAUACCCUGGUAGUCCACGCCGUAAACGAUGUCGACUUGGAGGUUGUGCCCUUGAGGCGUGGCUUCCGGAGCUAACGCGUUAAGUCGACCGCCUGGGGAGUACGGCCGCAAGGUUAAAACUCAAAUGAAUUGACGGGGGCCCGCACAAGCGGUGGAGCAUGUGGUUUAAUUCGAUGCAACGCGAAGAACCUUACCUACUCUUGACAUCCAGAGAACUUUCCAGAGAUGGAUUGGUGCCUUCGGGAACUCUGAGACAGGUGCUGCAUGGCUGUCGUCAGCUCGUGUUGUGAAAUGUUGGGUUAAGUCCCGCAACGAGCGCAACCCUUAUCCUUUGUUGCCAGCGAUUCGGUCGGGAACUCAAAGGAGACUGCCAGUGAUAAACUGGAGGAAGGUGGGGAUGACGUCAAGUCAUCAUGGCCCUUACGAGUAGGGCUACACACGUGCUACAAUGGCAUAUACAAAGAGAAGCGACCUCGCGAGAGCAAGCGGACCUCAUAAAGUAUGUCGUAGUCCGGAUUGGAGUCUGCAACUCGACUCCAUGAAGUCGGAAUCGCUAGUAAUCGUGGAUCAGAAUGCCACGGUGAAUACGUUCCCGGGCCUUGUACACACCGCCCGUCACACCAUGGGAGUGGGUUGCAAAAGAAGUAGGUAGCUUAACCUUCGGGAGGGCGCUUACCACUUUGUGAUUCAUGACUGGGGUGAAGUCGUAACAAGGUAACC
This 730-nucleotide ribosomal RNA is filed under the name uncultured bacterium. RNAcentral describes it as "bacterial SSU rRNA". It matches the Rfam family "Bacterial small subunit ribosomal RNA", at positions 771 to 1501 of the family's 1533-position model. The record is from RNAcentral.